AAAUGAAUUGACGGGAGCCCGCACAAGCAGUGGAGUAUGUGGUUUAAUUCGACGCAACGCGAAGAACCUUACCAGGGCUUGACAUCUACGGAAGACUGGGUAAAGCCGGUUGUGCCCCUUCGGGGGAACCGUGAGACAGGUGGUGCAUGGUUGUCGUCAGCUCGUGUCGUGAGAUGUUGGGUUAAGUCCCGCAACGAGCGCAACCCUUACGGUUAGUUGCUACGAAAGAGCACUCUAACAGGACUGCCGUUGACAAAACGGAGGAAGGUGGGGAUGACGUCAAAUCAUCAUGCCCUUUACGCUCUGGGCUACACACGUACUACAAUGGCGCAAACAAAGGGGAGCGAGGCGGCGACGCUGAGCAAAUCCCAAAAAGGCGCCCCAGUUCAGAUUGCAGGCUGCAACUCGCCUGCAUGAAGUUGGAAUUGCUAGUAAUCGUAAAUCAGCAUGUUACGGUGAAUACGUUCCCGGGCUUUGCACACACCGCCCGU
This 491-nucleotide ribosomal RNA is filed under the name uncultured bacterium. RNAcentral describes it as "bacterial SSU rRNA". It matches the Rfam family "Bacterial small subunit ribosomal RNA", at positions 903 to 1397 of the family's 1533-position model. The record is from RNAcentral.